UUUUGACAAUUUGUAAAUAAAUGUAAAAAAACAGAAAAGGAAAACAAAAAAAUAAAAUAAAAGAAGAAACAGAAAAAAGAAAAAGGAAACAAAAAGAAAAAGAAAACAGGAAACAGAAAAAAGGAAAAAAGAAAAAUAAAAGAAGAAACAGGAAAAAGAAAAAGGAAACAAAAAUAAAAAGAAAACAAGAAACAGAAAAAAGGAAAAAAUAAAAAUAAAAGAAGAAACAGGAAAAAGAAAAAGGAAACAAAAAGAAAAAGAAAACAGGAAACAGAAAAAAGGAAAAAAAAAA
Molecule: long non-coding RNA, 292 nt
Filed under: Hordeum vulgare
Lineage: Eukaryota; Viridiplantae; Streptophyta; Magnoliopsida; Poales; Poaceae
Description: long non-coding RNA (HVUL_LNC014132)
Source: RNAcentral